CGCGGAGAUACGGAUGAUGUUCCCGUAAAGCAUCGCGGUUUUGCGGUGUCCGGUGCGCUUCUUCUGGCCCUUGAAAAUCCGGGUAAGAGAUUGAUUUUCACGCCGAAUCGUACCCAUAUCCGCAGCAGGUCUCCAAGGUGAACAGCCUCUAGUCUUUGAACAAUGUAGGCAAGGGAAGUCGGCAAAUUAGAUCCGUAACUUCGGGAAAAGGAUUGGCUCUAAGGGCUGGGGCCGUUCGAGCUCCGGUUAGAAGCGAUGGUCGAUGCGUAGGAACUGGGUAAACUGAUCGCAAGGUUGGUGAACUCGGACCUUAGUCAUUGUGCUGCCGUGGAAGGCCGAAGCUACGUCGUGUGAUUCUUCGCGGGAUUGCCGAUUUCGGGCGGCGCUAAGCAGCCAAACUUAGAACUGGUACGGACACGGGGAAUCCGACUGUCUAAAUAAAACAAAGCAUUGCGAUGG
This 459-nucleotide ribosomal RNA is filed under the name uncultured eukaryote. Its description in RNAcentral is "eukaryotic LSU rRNA". It matches the Rfam family "Eukaryotic large subunit ribosomal RNA", at positions 1734 to 2167 of the family's 3401-position model. The record is from RNAcentral.